Molecule: ribosomal RNA, 254 nt
Filed under: uncultured bacterium
Lineage: Bacteria
Description: partial 16S ribosomal RNA
Rfam family: Bacterial small subunit ribosomal RNA
Source: RNAcentral
UACGUAGGGUGCGAGCGUUGUCCGGAAUUAUUGGGCGUAAAGAGCUCGUAGGCGGUCUGUCGCGUCGAUCGUGAAAACUUGGGGCUUAACCCUGAGCUUGCGGUCGAUACGGGCAUGACUGGAGUUCGGCAGGGGAGACUGGAAUUCCUGGUGUAGCGGUGAAAUGCGCAGAUAUCAGGAGGAACACCGGUGGCGAAGGCGGGUCUCUGGGCCGAUACUGACGCUGAGGAGCGAAAGCGUGGGGAGCUAACAGG